CAGUUAACCCAGAGCAGCUGAGCCCGCUGUGCUCCCAGCUGCCAUUAAAAGAGCUCAGCCUGAGCUGGCUGUAGUCUGAAGAGCGUCUUUCCUUCAGCUACCCAGGCAUGAGGAUGCAGACAUUUGCCACCAGACUGUUUCUGAAGGUGUGCCAACAGCCACAGCCCAGAGAGCCCUGGGAGCAACGUUAGAGCUUGUAGGAGCAUCCCCGAUGCCAAUGUGUGACCUUGCUAAGGGCUGCAGUUAAUGCAGAUUCAACAAAUAAAUAAACAUUUGCAAUAGGUUCAGACGUGACCUCAUCCCAACGGUGAUCACUAACAGAAUUAUUGACCUGACCGUUUGCUGCUGGAGAAUUUUGGAAAUGCCAGGUUCAUUACAGCCCUGCUUAUUGCCAGGAAGCAUUACAGCUUUGUGCUCGCAGCAGCUUUAAAGGCAGAUGAAAGCCAUAACGCCGGGUCACCCCAGAGACACACCAAGUGCAUCAUCUCAGGUGACCUUUGGGGCUGGGAAGAAGCUGCAGUUUCCCACUAGCAUCCAUGAGUCAACACGAGCAUCAAGUCACAGCAGCACGCCGAACCUCAUUUAUCAUUCCAUUUAAGGUGUCAGCAGAGCCAUUAUUCAAAUGAAUGGCCACGCAUGCAAUCAAUCUUUAAUGAAACAAUAAUUGCACCUUCCACUCUGCAAGACCUCUGCCUUUCUUAAAGUUGGAAAAGGAUAUUACAAUGUCCUGGUACCCUGAGCUGUUUGCACUGAUGUCCCCACGGAGGGGACACAGAGAGCUGGCUGGGAGAAGAAAAUGAACAGUUCUACUUAUGCAGCGAGUAAAUGAUCACGGAGCAAG
This 841-nucleotide long non-coding RNA is filed under the name Gallus gallus (chicken). RNAcentral describes it as "lncRNA (ENSGALG00010029112.1)". The record is from RNAcentral. Lineage: Eukaryota; Metazoa; Chordata; Aves; Galliformes; Phasianidae.